RNAcentral lists this ribosomal RNA (484 nucleotides) under uncultured bacterium. RNAcentral's name for it is "bacterial SSU rRNA". It matches the Rfam family "Bacterial small subunit ribosomal RNA", at positions 32 to 524 of the family's 1533-position model. The record is from RNAcentral.
AAUCAACGCUGGCGGCGUGCCUCAGACAUGCAAGUCGAACGAUUAAAGCUCUCUUCGGAGAGUGUAUAGAGUGGCGCACGGGUGAGUAACACGUAAGUAAUCUACCUUUGAGUGGGGAAUAACAAUCGGAAACGAUUGCUAAUACCGCAUAAUGCAGCGGCAUCGCAAGAUGACAGUUGUUAAAGGAGCAAUCCGCUUAAAGAGGAGCUUGCGGCAGAUUAGCUAGUUGGUAAGGUAAUGGCUUACCAAGGCUACGAUCUGUAACCGGUCUAAGAGGACGGUCGGUCACACUGACACUGAAUAACGGGUCAGACUCCUACGGGAGGCAGCAGUCGGGAAUUUUGGGCAAUGGGCGAAAGCCUGACCCAGCAACGCCGCGUGAAGGAUGAAGUAUUUCGGUAUGUAAACUUCGAAAGAAUGGGAAGAAUCAAUGACGGUACCAUUUAUAAGGUCCGGCUAACUACGUGCCAGCAGCCGCGGUAAC